Molecule: long non-coding RNA, 2917 nt
Organism: Mobula hypostoma (lesser devil ray)
Lineage: Eukaryota; Metazoa; Chordata; Chondrichthyes; Myliobatiformes; Myliobatidae
Exons: 4
Source: RefSeq, a predicted model, not a curated record
UAUGGAUAUGUACAGGGGAGGGUGGGCACUGACGGACUGUAGAGUGGGGUGAUAUGGAUAUGUACACUCACACUCACACUCACACCUGCCCUUUGUAACUUUACAAACUCUUGAGCGGUCCCCUGGGCCAGCCUGCUCAGACACAAAGGCAACAGCAGAUGCAGACUGCGUGCCAUUUGUCACAGUCUUCCCUCUGUGUGUGACAGUUUUCUGCUGGUCGCCUGCUCCCACCGCUUGGUGUAAGUAUGAACCCUCACUUGGGGAGUAACUCACCUCUGCCUGAGGCAGGAGGAGCUGAAAUUAACUGACGAAUCAGUUUGCACAAGUCUGGGCUGGACACUUAGUGCAGCUUUGGAGAUGCUUACACUGAUAGACGGCUGGACAGAAGAGAGAUCGGGGGCGCUGUCACUGACAGACGGCUGGAGAGAGGAGCGGAGCGAUCGGGAGCUCGGGGGAAGGGUGCCCUCACAUUUCCUACUUGCAUUUGACCAUAAGAUACAGGAGCAGAAUUAGGCCAUCUGGCCCAGUGAGUCCGCUCCUCCAUUUCAUCUCUUACUGGCUAACAGCUUAAUGAUGAUUGUAAAUUGUCCUGUGGGUUGAAUCGGUGGGUUGCGGCGAGGUGUGGUUCAGUGGGCCGGAAGGAUCUGUUCCCGCUGUAUCUCCAAAUAAGUGAUCUGGUGACCUGGGUUAUGUUGAGAAAAUAUUUGCAAAUCGAUUGAAGCUUUUUGGGAUUUGCUGUUGUGAUGGUAGAAACUGGGAAAACACAAGGAUUUCUCAAAAGAAAAAAAAAUCCAUUUGAAAAUAAAUUGUUAGUCAGGCUGCGUCAGUCCAUUGAAAGUUGCUACAUUUCGGGAUGAAAUGUCAACUCUGGGCUGUUUGGACGUAUUUCUGGUGUUUUCUAAUGUCUGCUUGGUUACAGAUUUAUUCCUUGACAGCUUGUCUUUAACCUUAAACACUAUGGCACCACCCCCUGUAUUUUGUGUGUAAAUAAAAGUAUUUAGGCAAACCUGAAAUAAAAAAAUGGUGGUUGACAGAAAAUUAAUGUAAUGUAAAAAGUCUUGUGAAAGACUGAAAAAAAGAAACACGAGAAGAUUUAUAUUUUUAUUUAAGGGAGCAAUUCAGGAAUUUGUGGGAUUAAUUCAUCCAACAACCGAUUACCAAUGUAACAAAUACUGAAUCGCCCAUUAAUUGUGGAAUUGAAUUCAAGAGUUGCAAGGUAAUGUUUCAGCUCUGUAAAACAGAUUGAGAAUAGGUUGAGUGAACUCGGCCUUUUCUCCUUGGAGCGACGGAGGGUGAGAGGUGACCUGAUAGAGGUGUAUAAGAUGAUGAGAGGCAUUAAUCGUGUGGAUAGUCAGAGGCUUUUCCCCAGGGCUGAAAUGGCUAGCACGAGAGGGCAGUUUUAAGGUGCUUGGAAGUAGGUUCUGAGGGGAUGUCGUUUUUUACGCAGAGAGGCCUAGGAAAUUUCUAAAGGGCCUUCAUUGUGCUGUAGGUUUUCUAUAGUUAGACCACAAUCGGAGUAAUGUGUUCAUUUCUGGUUUCCUCCUUAUAGGAAGGGUGUGGGAGCUUUAAAGAGGCUGCAGAGGAGAUUUACCAGGAUGCUGCCUGGAUUAGAGAGCAUGUUUUAUGAAGAUAGGUUAGAGUUUUUUCCUUGAGAGCAAAGGUAAUGGCAGAAGUGUAUUAAAACUGUUAGAAGAGACCCUGCACCUUUUCCCCUGGGUUGCAUUGGACAGUACCAAAUGACAUAUGCUUAAGGUGACUGGAGGAAAGUACUGGAGGGGUGGGAGAGAUAUCAGAGGCGAGUACAGUAUUUUGUUUACACAGAAAAUGGCUGUGACAAUUUCAUUAAAUACCUCAGCCUCAGAGAAAACAAUUGUCCUGCUCUGUAUCCUGAACCUCUUCUGCACCCUUGGAAGCUAUAGUGUGGCAAUCCGAAUCAGACUAACAUGAAAUUUGCAGUGGACUAGUUAAACGAAAGUAAAUACAAAAAAGAGCAAAAUAGUCAGGAAGGGAUUCCGGAAACUUUGUGUAAUGUUCUUAAUGCUCUUGCACAUCGAUAAUAUCCGCUCGAGAGCAACACGCUGUUCAACAGCAGUGAUAAGAUAAACUGUUAUUGAACAGGGGAGAGUCCCCAACUACCACAAAUUUUGCAGUCGAGUAUCCCGCCCGCAGGCGUCAGCACACCCGAAGUGCAAUGGGACUGGGAGAGCCGGUGAAGAUCGUCCACCUUGAAGCCACAGCAAUCCAGUGGCACCUUGCUCCCUACGUUACAUUCGUUCAAACCUCGCACACUGAAGUCGGAUGGUGUUCCUGAUCCCAGCCCCAGGAGUGGAAGCGCUGGUCUCUACAGCCAUCGCCGCUGCACAGGGAGGGGGGGGGGGGGAGUGCACACCAGGCUUCCCCCCGUGUCAGCACUGCGAGGCCCGCUGUGCUCUGGAAUGAACGCCGGGGAUCGCAGCUCUCCGGUAGAGAACGCUUGGUCUCAGCUCUCGAUCACGGCCCAGGUGAGCUCAGAUCCAGCAUCUCCAGGAUGAAGCGGUCAGUGCUGCCGCGCUCAUAGAGAUUCCGGAAUUUGUGCUUCAGCCUACGGAGGCCUGAGUCACCGUUCGUUCCGAAAAUGGUUAUGGAGACAUUGGCAUCGGUUCCGGCACCCUUCACGUCACCGAUGGUGCGGAGGUGCUCGACAAAGCGAUCCCCCCAUUUACGAUGGGUCUCACCAGUACAGAGGAGGCCCCAUCGGCAGCAGUGAUACAAUAGACUACCGCAGCAGACCGAUGCUGCCUGACUUGCUGAGUUCCUGCAGAAUUUUGUGUGCUGCUGGGAAACUAAGCUUUCUUUUGAAGAAGAGAGGACAAGGACUUUUGUUAACCAAUAAUUUCCAAUAAUUGAACAGUGAGCAAAAUAUUUUUCAUCAUUUCAG